RNAcentral lists this long non-coding RNA (231 nucleotides) under Musa acuminata (dwarf banana). RNAcentral describes it as "long non-coding RNA (MACU_LNC010696)". Lineage: Eukaryota; Viridiplantae; Streptophyta; Magnoliopsida; Zingiberales; Musaceae. The record is from RNAcentral.
AAAAGGUUGAGAAAAUUUAAUACUGAUCUGAGUCAUGUAUGAAACUAAGCAAAUUAGAUUUGGGUUUGGUUUGAUUAGACCUGAUAAGUUUUGAUAUAUCCCAUAGACAAAAAUUUAGGACCUUAGUUAAGUCGAUUCGAAUACCUUUGUUCUGGAUUGACUCAUCACGGAUGACCUUUAUUGGCCAUCUAUUUAGAUCAGACUGAUCCAACACACAUGCAUAUACAAAUA